GAAAGAAAGAAAAACAAAGCUCCGCCAAACUUAAGAAGUUGGGGCCGAGCUCAGGGCCGGCCCGCACCCCGCCGGCCCAGGGCCACCCUCUCGGCUCGGCCCGGAGGGCGCGGGCAGCCGCUGAGGGAACGCGGGGGGAGUGGGGGGGAGCGAAGCUCUGCAGCAAGUGUAAUCCACUCUGCUUGCGUUUGGGAUAUUUUAUUAUUAUUUAAAACGGUUUAAUCUGCUUUUUGUCCCUGCCUGUCCAGCAAGUAGCCCGAUUGUCGCUCUCAGAAGUGGCAUUACACGUACAAACGAUCGAGAGGGGGGGUGAGGCACAAACCUGCGUCCAGCCCCAAUUUCGCCCAAUAAUUUCAUUCAAGGGCUCUAAGGACCCUUGAAAGCUGGGGAAUGCGGAGGGAGCUCCGCGUUGCUCCCGGCGUCCCCUUUCAUCCCCCUUCUCCCUAAUGGAACCGCCGGGCGAGCACACGUGCGGGCAGCCCGUGGCCCCGCAGCCGCCCCGCGCCGAGCUCCGGGCCCGGCUGAGCCCCGGGGAGCGUUGGCUGCCGGGGUCCGCUUCGAGCCGCCCCUCGGGCACCGCCCGCCCUGCGACCACCACGACCAGCAGCUCUGCUGCUACUUCGAGCGGCGUUAAGGAAAAAAGAAAAGCGUUAACACAGCGUUAAAGAAAAACAAAAAUCUAAAAGGAAAUAAGAGGGAGCGGCUUCACCUUUCUUCUGUGGGACCACAAGAGAAAUGUAAAAAGCGAUCAUAAAGCUGAGAUGAUGGGACGAGUUGAAUGUACACAAUAAACAUCAGCAAAGCCGGCUCGUGUACACACAGCAGAGCUCCAAGUCGCUUUCAGAAGGCUUCCAGCAAGCGGAGAGGCCGUGUGUUCAAACCUGCCCUGCUCCCAGGGCUCCACAAACAGCCCUCCAACUCCGGGUGACUCUGCCCCACAUCUGGAAUACCCCUCCCCGACCCUUCAUCCCGAUCAGAGCAGAAUGGAAGCCGUUAUUAUUAUUAUUUUACAUGACCUUAAAAAUAAAGCAGAAAAUCAAGCAGCAGCAGUGAGGAGGAGGUCAGGAGUUGCCAUGUGCCAUGGGUGGGAUGGCUGCUGGGUGCAGGCCCUGUGCUGGUAUGGCACCCCCUGAGCGCGGCCCUUCUGGGCGCUCUAUUUCAAGUUAUCUUUCCUUCCUAGUUUUAUAAGAACAAAUGAGUUUUCUUUUCCCAUUGUAGUUGAAUGAACUCAUGUAUAUUAAACACAAAACCCCUCCUGAAGAACGCUAACUGCUUUGCCUAAACCCACAAAGGCACAAAAAUCCAGAGCUGAAGGUUUCCAGUUUCUGAAUAAGUCCCCUCAACUCUCUCAGGCUCACAGGAAGGAGAGAUUGGGACCUUUUUCUACAAGUUUUAAUGCCUGGAAGGGGCCAUCUCGCACAGAAACGCAUUGUCUUUUGCCAAAGCUGAGGUUUCUAUUUUAUUUCCCUCAUUCCCCCUCACCAUCUUUCUAUUGACUAAAGAAAGAAAAAAAAGGUGUAGAAACGCGUCUGUGCAUGGGAUCACACGUGUCGCCCAAAUCAAAUGAAGUCCUCUUUGGCCCCAGAGCAGUUUUGAUGGAAUUAUUCCGACUCCCGCAUUGAAUUCGAGACGUUUCCCAAAGAAGCUCUGGCGGAUUCAAUGGGAACGCCUGAGGCACAGCCCGGGGUGCUUCAAGGUUGCACCUCAAACCCUGGAAUCCCGAGGCACGGAUUGAAAGUACAUAAGAAAAAAAAAAAUAAUAAAGAGAAAGAAAGAAAAAAAGCAAUCUCUUUCCAGUGACUCUCAGAUCACUGACACCAUCGCCCAUAAUGGAGCCAAGACGGUGACUUUUAUCUCGCUGUUCCUCAUAGUCCUUAAUUUGGAGCUCAUUGACAGGACAGACGGUAAUGACACUUUCAGAACUGUUAUGGUCUGGAGUGACAAUCUCUCCAUCUCGUCCAUGGUUUAUUGACACCAUGGGCUCAUUGUGACAACUUAGGCUUGUGAUUUCAGAAUUCUCAAGUGACGGGCUCGUUGGGGGGGGGGGGCUUAAUUCAAAUUAUAGACUAGCUGUCUAUAUUGUGAAUUCAUAUUUAGACGGCACUUAAUCGGAGCAGAGAGAUGGUGCUAUAAAUAAUACCAUCAGUGCUUCCCAUGUGUCUGUCUGCUGUCCUCUGCCCCAAGAUGACCCGGGAGAGCCUUUUCAGGAGGGAGCCUGGCCACUCCCCAGCAUCCCUCGUAGGGCUUAGGCCUGUGUGUAUGGACAAGGAAAACCUUAAGGGUGCAUGAAAGAUCUGAACCCCCCGGGCUGGGUUGUGGUGCGAUGUCGCAUGGGAAUGGGGCUGCUCCCAGCACCCCUCUGCCCUGAAAGGGCUUGCAGCAGCCGUGCCUGGGGAUGGGGAGGAGAAAAGAAAGGUAGAACGAGCUAAUCUGCCCUGCAUCCCGGUUGCUUUUAGGAUUCGUUUCCCCCACUCUUCCACUCCUCGAGAUCUGGAGGAAAUGCAGGUGUCCAUAAAGCCUACUUCCAAAAGACACACGUAAGGCAAAACCGCACUUUACCUCCAAGCGGGACGAACGAAGACAAGCACGGAGCUGCCCCCACCCCCCGCUGCCAGCUGCGUGCCACCCCCGGCUCCCUCCCGGCUUCAGGACCGACCCGCAGCUGGCACCGAGCGAGCCCGGGGAGCGCUCCUAAUUUGGUUACAGCCUCAUUCAAUGAGCCAACUUCUGCCCCUCGGAGGGGGCACUUUCCGAGCCCUUUACAGCCCCCUCAGCGCUGCUGUUUCCAGGGGAGCCCCAGCAUCCCCGCUCUGAGUCCGGGUUAAUCAUUCACACUGCUGCAGGAGUCACUGCGUUUUUUGCAAAGCGCUUCCUGACGUUAGAACGUGUGUACCAACCUCUCUGUAUUUUUUCUGUUUCCUGUGGUAAUUGACAUAUAAUAUCUCUGUUUAUAGCUGGCUUGACAGAUCCAUACAGAUGUGUAUUUUUGCUUAAUUUCAGAGUUAUAUAUACCCAACGCGCGCCGAGGAAAGAAACAGUAACGGAAAUGUGGGAAUUCCGUUGUGCAGAAAUCCGCGCAGGGCUCUUGCUAUUAUUUAUAGAAAAUGCGAUGCCUUUAUUUUGGGACACAUUGGGUGUUUCAAGCGGAGAUCAAACCGAGAGAACGGAGCGCGCAUACUCUGCGCGACAAACAAUGAUCCUUAAAAACCGCAGUUCGUACUUAAUGUCUAAAGCGAAAAGUUUACAGUGAGAAGCACGGCCAUAGGAAGCGUUUCAUAGAAGAAAUGCGGCAUUACGACUUUCAAUCAGGCUGUUAACAGGAGCGACAAAAUCACCCCGAUUUAGCAGGAAUCAUUUGGUUCCCAUUAACGUUCCUCCCCGCACGCAGGACGCACAAAUCGCGGUCAGUUUUAUAGGCAUCACCGCGCAGAUGCCUAUAAAAUAAGCGGCGAAUUCAUGUAAAAGUUGGUGACAAUGCGGCACUUCACGUAUUUUGGCUGACGGUUUUGUAACACGCAGCUUUCUUUUAAAUCUGUCAACAGAGAGGAAGAAACCCCCCGCUCCACGCAUUCACUAAGAUAACGCUUCUCCUUUUCCAGGAACCGGGUGGGGGUGUGGGGGGGUUAUUUUGCUCUUAUUUUGGAAGGGAGGAGGAAGACGACUUCAUCACUUCGCCUUAAAAUAUGACAUUUGCGAGCACUCUGCCUUAAUGAAACGGAACCGUCGAGCUCUGCUCGCAAGUAACACCUGUCAGUGCGACUUAGCUCCAGCGCCUUGGGGGGAAAUCACAAUCAUCCGGAAGGCUGCAGCGUCCCGACAGCAGCGGGAGCUGGGGACGCAGCUGGAGACGAGGGAUUUGCCCAGUGCCACCCACUACCGCGGCGCGGUCCCGCAGCAUCACACUGAGAGACAGCGGCACACGCGGACACUUCUCCAGGGACGGAGCUUUCGGCAGUUCUGCUCACACAUACAUCCGUGGCGUUAUGUUUAAUGCCUGCACAUCCACAGAGCUCGAUCUGGAGGCGCCUUCCCUUCCCGUGAUUUCUCACUGCCCAUCCCCACCUCCCCACGCUCACACCCGGCCCCGUGGGCUCCGCUCCGCGCUGAGCCGCGGUUCCUCCGCCCGGUCCCCGCGGGCGGCUCCUGGUGCUGCCGACAGGGGGCGCCGCAUCCCGCUCUCAGCGCCGCCUCCCGCCCGGCGCGGCCCCGGAAGAGGGGGAGAGCCCGGAGCGGAGCGGGGUCGAGUGCGGAUCUUCAGGCUCGGCAGAUAAAAGAGAUUAAAGGCUAAAUUCUCUCUCUCUCUCUUUUUCUUUUUUCUUUUUUUUUUUUUUUUUUUUUUUUGGGUAGCAAUUUUAACCAACCACGAAAACGCGAAGCUUUUAUCCUUUGAUGCAUCUCAGAAAAGAAACUGUUACAUCAGUUGUGAAAUUACAUCGUUUCGGAGCCGGCCGAGUGGAGUGGGGAAAUAAUUUAAUUAAAAAUAAUCAUAAUACGAGGAGCCGAGCUUCCGCUGAGGCACUUCACGGCUGACACACACCCUCCGUGUCGCCUCUCCCAGCGCUCCCGAUGCUGUUGCAUGGGAGGAAUUAAACCCACAUAACCCGGCGGGUCGGGGCUGUCCCCUCGGGGCCGCACAAAGCAGCGCUCGCCCCGCGGCACACGGUGCUCUCUGACCACAUUAAGCAGAAAUAAAAUGGUACCCGGCUGCCCACUUUCCCCCUGCUACAAAAACUCUUCACCUGUAUUUAAAUAGCACGUCUUUAAUUACAGCGGUUGGGGAUGUAUGAGGCUGAAAUGAAAUUAGCAGUCAUUACCAGUCCUUUAACUCCGUGGUGCUUUUGAUCAGCACUAAAUUAGCUUUCCAGUCCUAACAAAGGCUCUAUAGCAAGCAGUGGGCUGUAAAUAAGACAGCUCGACCUGCCCUCAACACCUUUUCUCUUGUCAAUCACAGCUCUAUCAUUCAGCCCAAGAUUAACCUUUAUCUACCAAAUUCUUACCCCAAAAAACACAAGGGGGGGGAGAAGAAGGCGGAGGGAGGAAGAGGGGGGAAAACCCAACCUUAACUUUGCUAACUGUAACUAAAAAGAGCCUCCCUUUAAGUGGCAUUAUAAUGAGCCAAAAUGUCAAAAUCGAUCAUUCCCAGCCCAAAUUGCGGUGCACCGGGAGGCAGCAGCGUUAUGCUCAGGCAGUGACACACACAUUGAUUGACUCGCAACUUCCCCGGGCACGGCCUCUUUGCCCAGCGAGGGCUCUGCCCAGGGUCUCCCCGCGUCUCCUCCCGUGUUCGGGUGCCCCGUCCCCCAGCGCUCAGCUGUGCGCGGAUCCCCGUACGGCCGCGAACCCCCCGCCGUCCCCCCUUUCCUCGGGAGCGGAGGGAGGGUGACGGGCCGAGCGCUGCCGGCAGGGGGCGACAAAGCGCAGGCGCAGCGGGCGCCGCUCCAGCGCUGCUGCGCGCCCGUUGCGCGCCCAGGUAACCCCCGCAUUACGGCCGCCCCCAGACCCCGCGCAGCGCCCCGGCCGCCUCCCGGACAGCGCAGCGCCGGCCUGACUCCAACUGCCGCCCCGCAGCGGAACCUGCCCCCGCUCUGCGGCUCGACCCCGCCGGAAUAGCGGCCCCGCUCGGAGCAGCCCGCGGGGUCCCCUCGGUCCGUGCGCCCCGCGGAGGGGCGGCCUCGGGCUGCUCCGCUCCUGCCCGGCGCUCCGGUCGCAAAGCGGCUGCCGCGCAGUUGCAGGCAAAGCCAAACCCGAGCCCGAGUCCCUCAGUGUAACGCCGUCGAGCUCGGAGCGGCGGGCGCUGAGCGGCAGCGACAAAGCGCCCCGAUGGCUCAGAAAUUGCACGUCGUUCUUAACAGCUGUAUACAGCUCUUGGAGAGAGUUUCCAAGCAAAUUACAGCAGCGUCCUACAGCAAGCUGACAAAGAGAUUCCGGGAAUGCCAAACACCGAGGAGGGAAACACGAAUCCCUCUCGUUAGCCCGAAGCACGAAAUUGGCUUAAAGCUCAUUUUGCUGAUAGCCGGAAACGAAAUCAUCAGUGCGUGGGACCGGGCGGCUGCAAGUUUCAGAUGCUCGAGAUCAACGUGUGACACUUUCUCGGGGAGGGGGAAUAACCAUGAAGGAAAAAAAGAAGGAAAACGCGUGAUCCAUGGGCUGGAAGGGCUCUGAGGGAAACUCACAUCCCAAUCUCGCCCCGCACGGCACCGAUACGCAUAAACUGUGCCACGAAACUGCUCCCACGGGAUGGGACAUUGAAUGUCAUAGAACCGCAGAGUGGUACGAUGCGCCGGAUUUGGGCUUUCACAGUUCAUUUAAGACUCGAGAAAACAAAACAGAACAAAACACCUGCAUCCAGCAGCGUAGAUGAAAUAGCAGAUAACUCCAAAUUUACGCAGCAGAUCCUUAUCUUAUCUCAGAGCGGAUACCCGAGCAGCGAGUCGGCCCGAGGCGCCCUCCCUUAGACUCCCGAUGCACCGCCGCGCCCGGGGAGCAAAGAACUCCAGAAGUCGGGCCCGGGUCCAGCAGGGCCCCGCACCAACGCUCAGCUCGGAACCAGCCGCGCUCCUCCCGCUGCCCGGCGCACACACGGACGCGCUCUGCUCGCCCCGGGCUCGGCUCGGGACGCUCACAGCGGGGACACGACCGUCCCGCAGCCGCUCCCCGAGCGGAGCCGCUGCGCUCCCCGAGCCCCGAAGGACGGGGUUGGAAGUGUCCGAAAAGACCCCGGGCCGCGGGGCUGCUCAUUCGCGAGUCCUUUCACUGCGUUUCCCUCUUUUCACCAGUGAAAGUUCUCCCGUGCGAUCGUUUCCCUAAGUUCUUGGCAGCACGCUCUCAAUUAAAGCACGUUCGGACUUUUCUAUCCCCAAAGCGUGCAGGCAGCUCACCGGGAUUCACACCAGUCGCACGGACACACGGUCCUUCAAAGAGCUAGAAAAACUUCCCACCACCUCACGGUGCAGAAAGAACAUUUAUGAAGCACCGACAGCAGUUUGUUUGUUUUGUCCUGGGAUACGGUAGUAAAAAGCCCGCUUAACUGCGAAGAACUCGCAGUCUCCUGAGGAGCUGCAGGUUUGCAGGGCAGACAGGCCCUUCGCAGUGCAGAAAUGUAUGUCUGAGUUUCAGACGUGCUUCCGAAACCUGGAGACCUUUCAGUUCUUUUCCCUCCCUGUGACCACUCUAAGAGAUCUGAAAUUGUUCAUUCAUUAUCUCAACGUUCACUGCAAUAUUUUUGCUGCCAAUUGCUGUGGAUAGCUGCAGUGCCAAAUCCGCCUUUACUGAAAGUUGAGCACAGAGUAAACGACGCAUUUCUCUUGUGAAAUAUUCCGUUAGCACUUUGCCCACACAUCGUAAGGACCCGACAUCUUCCUUUUUUCAGCCCUUUAGAUGGCAACUUUCUCUGGAGUUGGGCUCCUUUCACAUUCUGAAGAUGAAUUUGUCACGGCAGGUAGACGUAUUUGCAAUAACCGAUACCUUCCUGUGUACAUUAUGUCAAUGUAACACAAAUACAUUGAGUCUGAAAGUCCUUUGGCAAAUAACAACAGUAAUUUAAAGCAAUUCAAAUAGUCCGUGUAUUUAUGCAUACAGUAGGCACAUACUUCACAUACCUGUACAUAUGUUACAUACCAUGACAGUACACAGCCUAUACAUGCAUGGCACAUGAUACCCGGCAUUCAGAGGACUCAGACCCCUUUCUGCACACACACUUUCUGCACACACGCUUCCACACGUCUGUGAGGUAUGCAUGCAUUCUUACAUCCUAAGUGAUAAGAGAUCAUUCUGAAUGCUGAAUUCUGAAUGUAUUGCUGUAAGGUGGCAAUCCCCAAACCACAUCAAGUCAUUUCUCAGAACUCCUGUCCCAUUACAUGCUCAUUGCUGCUGUCAGCAGCCUGGGACUAAGAAGAGACAGAGCCAACCUUGGCAGAGGGCUUCCAGCAACAUCCAGAGAACAGUUUCCUGGCACUGUGCUGCCUGGCACUUUGUCAUCACUCGCUUCAGUUGCAAUGAAUUUAGAGAGGUUAUUUUCUCCGUGGUUUCUGUAUGGUUUCAGGUAGUCCCUCAUCAUCACCACCUCACCACAGGGACAGCUGCUGAUCUUUAACCCCAUUCUCCAUAGCCUGCUAUGAGCAGUGACUCAGAGACUCAGAGAAUUUAGGAGCUAUGUUUAGCAUAUGUGGAACUACCCAGACUUAAAGACUCUCACUGCAGCCAUCACAGGACUCAAGACAGCAAUGAGGGUCCAAAGUGGGCCUAAAAUACACCUUUGCUCUGAACGUGGGCAAUGAGUACAAACCACUCCACACAAUUUGAAACCUUCUGCCAGUGACACAGAGUAGCAGCUCCCAACAGGUCAAAAAUCCAGCUGAGGGCUAUUUAGGAGAACAUCAACAAAUGAGGAUAUGCAGAAAUGCGGGAUAUCUGUUUGCAGCAGGAAAAGGGCAAACAACUCACACUGCAUCUGGCACGGAAUUAAAAAGUGUACAACGGAUUAGAUAUCAGCCACUUCUAUCAAAUCCAUGCCCAGGAACCUAGGGGGAGGGAAACACGGAAGAGCAGAUGCUUAGAAGGUAAAACACCCCAAUUAACCUCAUUAUCUUUUACAAAACUGUACUAUUAAUAUUCAGGGGUUUUCAAAUUACUGUUGUUGUUGUUGAAGAGAAUCUGUUGACUAUAGCAUGUGUUUUGCUGUAGUCUCCCAAAUCAGCAUUGCCCUUCUUAAGGUCAGGGGAAUGUAUCUUAAAACAUUCAUAUAUUUAAAAAAUAUGUAUUGUUAUUUUAAUAGGCACUGUGGAUAGUUUAAUUUGUAUCUGUAUUAAAUUAAACAUAUGGUGAACAGGGUAUAAUAGAUUUUCUAUAAUUUAGCUGCCAAUGUGGCAACAGAAGCCAGUUACUCUCACCAGCAGACUUGUCAGUGGUUUGUUUACUAGCUUAUUUGAAUUAAAAUAAAGCUUCGCUUCUGCUGACUGCACAUCAUUAUCUAUGAGACCAUAAUCCUGCUAGCAAAUCCUAUAUCUUCCAGAACUGGCUCUUUUGUUUGGGAUUACUGAGAGCUUAGCCUAUAACAAAGAGGAAUAAGGCAUCCCUCUCAUCCUCGUAAUUAAGUGUGGGGAGUAAUUUAGAAACAAACCCAGAAAGAUGUACAAUUUGGAGUUCUGCUUCCAUACAGGAUUGGGGAACAGAAGAGGCCAAACACUGAUUAUGGCAGUGCAAUGUUAAAGCUAUUAAACUGCUGUACAACAGGAACCCAGCUUUUAAAAAGAAAUGGCAACUAUCAGUAAAGUAUUAAGUUGUUUUAUACUACAGACAUUUUUUUGCUUAUCUAAAGGUAUGCUGGAAAAUUUGGGUGGAGCUUGGAGCCCAAAGACUAUUUCAAAUCUCAGAUUUUCUACCUGCACACAUUACUUACAUGUCACCCUCAGAACAAAUCCAUUUUGAAAUAAUAAAUGAAGCUUGAAUUAUUUUAAAGUCUCCCUUAGCGAUUUCACUAUUUUUGAAUAAGAACACUCUCCAGGAAUAGAAAUAGCUCCAGCAGCUGAACAUAUCUGCUAAAGCACUACCUUUUUGUAGCACCAAGAUUCAUAUUUUCCUUUGGGAAACUGAGCAGGUAGUUUGGAGAUGUCAGCAUUUUCAAAUGACCACAGCACUGUGGAUACAAUAGAGAAUGUUUUAACAUAGGUACUGUGAGGUCAGUCAAAUGCACCUGGGUGAUCUUUGAUGCUCAUUCACGUAAUCCAUUUCUGCUUGAAACAUGAAUUAUGUUACAUACGAGUAGUAGCAAUUAAUAACAAGGUCACAAAAAAUGGAAGUCUCGGGAGUAUAGAGAUACACAGUAUCUAUUUGCAGAGGGCUAAUAAGGACAAGGGUUGAUUUAUAAAAGUCUUCAACAUUAAUUGUCACAGAUGGGAAUUCUGAGGACCUCUGCGAAACCAAAUGAGGCCCCAGUGAAUUAUAAAGCAGGUCCUUAGACUUUAAAAACAUUUAGGCAAAGUGACAGUUCAGAACAUCUGUUAGCCUUCUGUCUGAGUAUAAACUGGAUGUCGUGGAGUGCACAGCUGUAGGCAUUUUCUGCUUCUUUUUGCCAACAUCUGUCACAGCGUUACAGUAAUAUAGGUAAUUAUCAACACCUCAUAUAAACUGUUUGCUAUUUUAAUUUCUGAAUAAGUAAAAUUAGCAUUAUACCCCUUGGGGGAAAAAAAAAAAUCCAGGAGAGGGAGAACAUACAUUCCCUUUUAAAGCUGAAUGACAGAUCUGAUCAUUUUAGGAGAGCUGAAAUGCAGGGAAAAAAAACCCUCUACUACAAAUAAGGUCUUUAGGAUAACAUAAAAGACUUAGGUGAGAACAAGUUUAAAUAUCCUCCCUUUCUCUCCCUGCCUCUUAGAAAAAGACAUCUGAGUCUCAUCUGUCAUAAGCAAAGAAGAUCAGUAGCAAGAAAAGACAGGAAACCGUUAAUCAUCUAUGGUUUUCUCCAUGCACAAGCAGCUGUCAAAUGAUGUAUGUUUUACCACAGUAACAAAGCCAGGGGCUCAUCAGUACCAAGCAAUUUUACUGUCAGUUGGUCAUCCUUCUCAACAGCUGCAGUAAGAAAGAGAUCACCUUGCUGUGGUGCACGGAGGCUCGACCUGAGCAGCCGGUGAGGGGCAACAAGCUGCAGGACUUUCAGAAAUAGAAACGUGGUCAGAGGUCCCCCAGUAGCCAAUGGAAAAGGGUACACUUGGAAGAGAUUGUCCACAGAAAUGCCUUGAAGCCAUUUUUCAGGACGUUUUGUCCCUUUUCAUGGCUAGAGAUAGAAACCACUGCCCUCUCUUCAAGAUCAUCUACCUGGCUGUGGACUUGGGCUCCUGUGAAGAUGCUGAUUCCCAAAUCAUCAAGCACAUUUGGAAACAGCUGCUCACUUGGUGGCUGUCGUAAUGAGAGAAGUGCACCCACAGGCUCCUAGAGCACAGGAUAAAGAACAGCAGAACAACAAAGCAAUGCUGUCAAACAGCACUGGAGACCAUGUCAGUCUUAACUUGCAAGUAUGAGCCUAGUGUCAGAAAAUAAUCAAGGGGCAAUGAGUUUUACAACAUUUUAUGGAAGUAACAAUCACAUCCAGUUCAUACGUAUUUUGCUUUCACCACUAAAAGAACAGCACCUCUGCUAGAAGUUAACAUUCCAACAUGGAAAAAGUGCCUUUAGCUCUUUUUAUAAAGAGGAGGCACAUGGAACAAAGUGGUCACUAAUACGCUAUUUUUAGUGCCUGAACUACAGUCCAGAAGAUAAUACCCAAUUACUUGAUAUAGUGCUCUAUACACUCUCUGAACAACAAUAGUGGAUUGAGAAGCAAGAGAAAGCACCAGAAUAUGGUUUUGAAGUCAUUCAGAUUUCAUGUAUUUUAUUUUCUUCUUAAAAAAAAAAUAGGCUUUGAAAAGAGGUGCAGUGUUGUCCCGGUUGAAGGAGGGGGGCCAGAGAAGAGUUUAAAGGGAGAUGAGAGCAGAUGGAGCUUGAGAAAGAAGAGAGAGAGACCUUGACUACAGGAAAGGAGAGCUAGGGCACAGACAGCCAGAAAUCUAGAGAAAAGAAAAAGCAUCUGGGGUGCAGUCAGAAAAG
Molecule: non-coding RNA, 11577 nt
Organism: Coturnix japonica (Japanese quail)
Lineage: Eukaryota; Metazoa; Chordata; Aves; Galliformes; Phasianidae
Source: RefSeq, a predicted model, not a curated record